This 171-nucleotide non-coding RNA is filed under the name Robinsoniella sp. RHS. RNAcentral describes it as "Lysine riboswitch aptamer". It matches the Rfam family "Lysine riboswitch aptamer". From Rfam's summary of the family: Riboswitches are metabolite binding domains within certain messenger RNAs that serve as precision sensors for their corresponding targets. Allosteric rearrangement of mRNA structure is mediated by ligand binding, and this results in modulation of gene expression. RNAcentral also lists the same sequence under 1 other name. Lineage: Bacteria; Bacillati; Bacillota; Clostridia; Lachnospirales; Lachnospiraceae. The record is from Rfam by way of RNAcentral.
UGAAAUGAUAGAGGUGCGAUAUUCAUCAGUACUCCGGGACAAGUGGCAGGACAGUCGUUUUGGAGAAAAGGGAAGAUCGCCGAAGAGUAUAUUCCGGUCCAUGGAAUUAGCUCUGGGACGCAGCAGAAUAUGUUGCGGACUGUCACUGAUAUGUGGAGCGCUAUCUGAAGU